CCUACGGGAGGCAGCAGUGAGGAAUAUUGGUCAAUGGACGAGAGUCUGAACCAGCCAAGUAGCGUGAAGGAUGACUGCCCUAUGGGUUGUAAACUUCUUUUAUAUGGGAAUAAACUGUUCCACGUGUGGGCUUUUGUAUGUACCCUAUGAAUAAGGAUCGGCUAACUCCGUGCCAGCAGCCGCGGUAAUACGGAGGAUCCGAGCGUUAUCCGGAUUUAUUGGGUUUAAAGGGAGCGUAGGUGGAUUGUUAAGUCAGUUGUGAAAGUUUGUGGCUCAACCGUAAAAUUGCAGUUGAAACUGGCAGUCUUGAGUACAGUAGAGGUGGGCGGAAUUCGUGGUGUAGCGGUGAAAUGCUUAGAUAUCACGAAGAACUCCGAUUGCGAAGGCAGCUCACUGGACUGCAACUGACACUGAGGCUCGAAAGUGUGGGUAUCAAACAGGAUUAGAUACCCGUGUAGUC
This 460-nucleotide ribosomal RNA is filed under the name uncultured bacterium. RNAcentral describes it as "partial 16S ribosomal RNA". It matches the Rfam family "Bacterial small subunit ribosomal RNA", at positions 338 to 795 of the family's 1533-position model. The record is from RNAcentral.